AUGCACGCAACAAAUGUGGCAAAUGAUGAUUACAUAUAUGAGUCACAAGAAUAUGAAACCCAAUAUGAUGAUGACAAUCUUGAUGUGGAUGAUGAGGGCUUCAUUGUCAAGGGAAGAAGCGGCAAUUAUAGCACCGGGGAGGAUGUGUUGAUAUGCACCGCUUGGAAGAAAAUCUCUCAAGAUGCAAGCGUUGGAAGCGACCAAACGAUGAGCACCUAUUGGAAACGCAUCAAGGAGUAUUUCGAUGAGCGCAACACAAGUGGUAUCUUCCGUUCGAGCGACUCUCUACGCCAACGUUGGUCCACCAUCAACGCCGAAUGCUCAAAGUGGGCCGGUUGCUUGUCAAAUGUUGCUCGCAUGAACCCAAGUGGUUGCGGUGAUAGUGAUUUGAAAAUGAUUGCACAAGGAUUGUUUCAGGAGAGGAACAUGAAAAGCGAGAAGAAGAAAAGGAAAGGAAAAGCUUUCACUUUUCAUCAUUGCUACAAAGAGCUCAAGGAUGUGGAGAAGUGGAAAACUAGAGAGACUUUUGAAUCGUCGAAGAAGAAGAGUGUGUUGGUUGUGGAUGAAGAAGAUGUCGCCAUUGAGGAGACGAGCCCCACUCCUCACUCCGCGACAAAAUCUUAUAGGCCCAAUGGAAACAAGAAAGCGAAGGGAACCAAGGCCGGAGACAAUGAUCUCAAGGAAGGAUUUGAUGCCAUUGUCAUGGCAAGGAAAGAGUAUGCCGACGAGAAAAGAAUGUUGAAGCUCAAGGAAAUAGAGGAGAGGAGUGAGGCCGAGCGGUGA
RNAcentral lists this ribosomal RNA (783 nucleotides) under Triticum aestivum (bread wheat). RNAcentral's name for it is "partial small subunit ribosomal RNA". The record is from RNAcentral. Lineage: Eukaryota; Viridiplantae; Streptophyta; Magnoliopsida; Poales; Poaceae.